This is a non-coding RNA of Streptomyces sp. Ncost-T6T-2b, 75 nucleotides long. NCBI's taxonomy places the organism in Bacteria, Bacillati, Actinomycetota, Actinomycetes, Kitasatosporales, Streptomycetaceae. The record is from Rfam.
CUUGAGGGACCCCAGCCGCAGCGCCUCGGCGUCUUCCCGGCCCUGUCCGUAGGUCGCGAGCAGCGCGUGCGCCUC